Plectropomus leopardus (leopard coralgrouper) is the source of this 165-nucleotide non-coding RNA. NCBI's taxonomy places the organism in Eukaryota, Metazoa, Chordata, Actinopteri, Perciformes, Serranidae. The record is from RefSeq and is a predicted model, not a curated record.
CUGGAGGAUGGCUGAGGAGGAGCAGUUAAACAGAUAUGAGCGAGCGAUCUACGCUGGCCUGAGUGGAAACCUCAAACCGCUGCUGGCGGUGUGUGAGUCGUGGGAGGACUGUGUGUGGGCGCACUUCAGAGUGAUGGUGGACUCACUGGUUGAAAAGGAGCUCAU